GAUGGAACGUAGCGAAAUGCGAUAAGUAGUGUGAAUUGCAGAAUUCAGUGAAUCAUCGAAUCUUUGAACGCACAUUGCGCCCCUUGGUAUUCCAUGGGGCAUGCCUGUUCGAGCGUCAUUUGUACCUUCAAGCUUUGCUUGGUGUUGGGUGUUUGUCUCGCCUUUGCGUGUAGACUCGCCUUAAAAUAAUUGGCAGCCGGCGUAUUGAUUUCGGAGCGCAGUACAUCUCGCGCUUUGCACUCAUAACGACAGCGUCCAAAAGUACAUUUUACACUCUUGACCUCGGAUCAGGUAGGGAUACCCGCUGAACUUAAGCAUAUCAAUAAGCGGAGGA
This 334-nucleotide unclassified non-coding RNA is filed under the name soil metagenome. Its description in RNAcentral is "partial contains 5.8S ribosomal RNA, internal transcribed spacer 2, and large subunit ribosomal RNA". The stretch from base 4 to 118 matches the Rfam family "5.8S ribosomal RNA", at positions 40 to 154 of the family's 154-position model. The record is from RNAcentral.